RNAcentral lists this long non-coding RNA (1840 nucleotides) under Setaria viridis. Its description in RNAcentral is "long non-coding RNA (SVIR_LNC001318)". The record is from RNAcentral. Lineage: Eukaryota; Viridiplantae; Streptophyta; Magnoliopsida; Poales; Poaceae.
UGCCGGCUCCAUAUCUCAAGUCUGAACUCUAAACUCUGGACUGUUCAGGUGCAUUUCCACUGCUUGAACGACAAAAUGUUUACCCGUGUAUGGACAAUUAAUUAUUCAUCUGUUAAAUCUAAUAAUUGUGUAAUGUACUGCCACCUUAAUACUAUCAUUAUUUAUACUUUACCUUAUCAUCUCUCCACUUUCUAUAACUAUGAUGUCUAGACAUAAAUCAUACUCCCUCCAUUUCAAAUUAUAAGUCAUUCCAAGAAUCUUGGAGAGUCAAAGCAUUUCAAGUUUGACCAAAAUUAUAGAAAAAAUUAUAAAAAUUUAUGACAUCAAAUAGGUAUACUAUGAAAAUAUAAUUGAUGAAGAAUCUAAUGAUACUUAGUUGACAUCAUAAAUGUUAUUAUAUUAUCAUACAAAUUUGGUCAACCUAGAGAUACUUUGACUCUCCAAGAUUCUUGGAAUGACUUAUAAUUUGGGACGGAGGGAGUAUCUGGGACCACCAUAAUGUUCGGCUCUACCGUAUCAUCCACUUUUCUUUCUAACCCCAGCUGAGUGACUUUUGUUUAGGCUACAAUAUAAUGUUCCAUCAAUUGCGCAUUUCUGCCCUCCACUCUCGCCUUCCUAAAUCCACAGCCUCGAGCCACAUGUUUUCAAGCCUUGUGCAACAACUAAACUGUGCGCGUCGGCGUGACGCUGCCGUCAUGUGAGGCUUGUAGAGUGGGCUACUCGAACGUGAAUUGGCUGGUGAGAUCCAUACACAUUGAGCCGACGUGCAGUGAGGAUUGGGUGGCCGCAGAGGUGUUCAAUACCGUUGGCAUGGCUUGCAUACAUGUCGAGCUAAGAUUGCCACGUAGGAGGUGUUCGAUACUAUAUAUGGGCUGAAUAAUUCAUAUUUCAAAACAUGUGUGUUGUAUUUUAGUUGAACCUUCAAUGCAGUGUUUAAACGCUAUAGUUACUGGUCGGACAAAACACGACUUUGAAAAGGAAAAAAGUAUAUGUUUUUUCGCUUAUUCAUCUUCAUUCUUGAUCUAACAGCCUAGUUCUUCUCCAACUAAACCCUAUCUUCCUGGCCACCUUCUUCACUCCCGACUAUGAACUAGCGCUGAUGCUGCUCGCCAAAUCCGAUGCCAGCAGGCUCCUAGUUCAGUCAAUACCUUUCUCCCCAGAUCUAUCAUGUGUACAACUCAGAGACAGAGACAAAAAUCUACAGUAACACUGACAAAUCUUAGGAUAAUAGCGCUGAUAUGUUUAAUUCUAUCUUGGGUCAGGAGAUCCUCGAGUUCGUCAACAGGUACACGGACCUCCCAAACAUGGAGGAUUGGAAGAUGGAGCUGUUAUUGACUACCUUAGGGAACAUGAAGGACAACCGCGAAACCUUCCAGGACCGUGACGACUACAGUGAGAACGUCAAUCAGGGUUUUCAGAGAUGGCUCUCCUUAGCUGGUGCCCAAUAUGAAGCUGCCAUUGCUGCUGCUGGUGGUGGUGGUGAUGACGCCGGUGGUGAUGCUGCGCAAGUGCAGCAGAAGCCAUUGCCGCUCCAUCUCAAGUCUGAACUCUAAACUCUGGACUGUUCAGGUGCAUUUCCACUGCUUGAACGACGAAAUGUUUACCCGUGUAUGGACAAUUAAUUAUUCAUCUGUUAAAUCUAAUAAUUGUGUAAUGUACUGCCACCUUAAUACUAUCAUUAUUUAUACUUUACCUUAUCAUCUCUCCACUUUCUAUAACUAUGAUGUCUAGACAUAAAUUAUACUCCCUCCAUUCCAAAUUAUAAGUCAUUCCAAGAAUCUUGGAGAGUCAAAGCAUUUCAAGUUUGACCAAAAUUAUAGAAAAAAUUAUAAAAAUUUAU